This 913-nucleotide small RNA is filed under the name Pan troglodytes (chimpanzee). RNAcentral's name for it is "processed transcript". Lineage: Eukaryota; Metazoa; Chordata; Mammalia; Primates; Hominidae. The record is from RNAcentral.
UCUUGCUGGUGUAUGAACAGAUUAGGAUGUGAGUUGGUUUGAUGACCCUAAAAACACCACUGGAGCAUUGACUACGAGGCUCGCCAAUGAUGCUGCUCAAGUUAAAGGGGCUAUAGGUUCCAGGCUUGCUGUAAUUACCCAGAAUAUAGCAAAUCUUGGGACAGGAAUAAUUAUAUCCUUCAUCUAUGGUUGGCAACUAACACUGUUACUCUUAGCAAUUGUACCCAUCAUUGCAAUAGCAGGAGUUGUUGAAAUGAAAAUGUUGUCUGGACAAGCACUGAAAGAUAAGAAAGAACUAGAAGGUGCUGGGAAGAUCGCUUCUGAAGCAAUAGAAAACUUCCGAACCGUUGUUUCUUUGACUCAGGAGCAGAAGUUUGAACAUAUGUAUGCUCAGAGUUUGCAGGUACCAUACAGAAACUCUUUGAGGAAAGCACACAUCUUUGGAAUUACAUUUUCCUUCACCCAGGCAAUGAUGUAUUUUUCCUAUGCUGGAUGUUUCCGGUUUGGAGCCUACUUGGUGGCACAUAAACUCAUGAGCUUUGAGGAUGUUCUGUUAGUAUUUUCAGCUGUUGUCUUUGGUGCCAUGGCCGUGGGGCAAGUCAGUUCAUUUGCUCCUGACUAUGCCAAAGCCAAAAUAUCAGCAGCCCACAUCAUCAUGAUCAUUGAAAAAACCCCUUUGAUUGACAGCUACAGCACGGAAGGCCUAACGCCGAACACAUUGGAAGGAAAUGUCACAUUUGGUGAAGUUGUAUUCAACUAUCCCACCCGACCGGACAUCCCAGUGCUUCAGGGACUGAGCCUGGAAGUGAAGAAGGGCCAGACGCUGGCUCUGGUGGGCAGCAGUGGCUGUGGGAAGAGCACAGUGGUCCAGCUCCUGGAGCGGUUCUACGACCCCUUGGCAGGGAAAGUGGUG